RNAcentral lists this ribosomal RNA (497 nucleotides) under uncultured bacterium. RNAcentral describes it as "partial 16S ribosomal RNA". It matches the Rfam family "Bacterial small subunit ribosomal RNA", at positions 28 to 507 of the family's 1533-position model. The record is from RNAcentral.
GAUGAACGCUGGCGGCGUGCCUAAUACAUGCAAGUCGAGCGAACGGACGAGAAGCUUGCUUCUCUGAUGUUAGCGGCGGACGGGUGAGUAACACGUGGAUAACCUACCUAUAAGACUGGGAUAACUUCGGGAAACCGGAGCUAAUACCGGAUAAUAUUUUGAACCGCAUGGUUCAAAAGUGAAAGACGGUCUUGCUGUCACUUAUAGAUGGAUCCGCGCUGCAUUAGCUAGUUGGUAAGGUAACGGCUUACCAAGGCAACGAUGCAUAGCUGACCUGAGAGGGUGAUCGGCCACACUGGAACUGAGACACGGUCCAGACUCCUACGGGAGGCAGCAGUAGGGAAUCUUCCGCAAUGGGCGAAAGCCUGACGGAGCAACGCCGCGUGAGUGAUGAAGGUCUUCGGAUCGUAAAACUCUGUUAUUAGGGAAGAACAUAUGUGUAAGUAACUGUGCACAUCUUGACGGUACCUAAUCAGAAAGCCGCGGCUAACUACGUG